Long non-coding RNA from Octopus sinensis (East Asian common octopus), 257 nucleotides. RefSeq lists it as uncharacterized. NCBI's taxonomy places the organism in Eukaryota, Metazoa, Mollusca, Cephalopoda, Octopoda, Octopodidae. The record is from RefSeq and is a predicted model, not a curated record. The transcript is spliced from 3 exons.
CUGGAGUUCAGACCUGUGUUGUUUUGUUGUCGGAUUCCGACGGAUAAAUAUUUCUGCUAUUAAUUACCGGGAUUGUUCAUUCGGUAUGUCUGUGCGGUGAUGGGGCUGUUAACACUACUAAAAAAAACGAAACAGAAAGAAAAAGAGAUGCGAAUUCUUAUGCUGUAUCCUUUAAUGUAUUUAUGUUUUAUUACGAUUAUAUCUAUGUCUAACUGUAUAUAUAUAUAUGUAUAUUUCCGUGUUAUAAAUUUCGAUUU